AAUUUGAGUCCGUAGCGGCGAGCGAACCUGGAUUAGCCCUUAAGCACUCGGUGAAGUAGGUGAACAAGCUGGAAAGCUUGGCGAUACAGGGUGAUAGCCCCGUAACCGACGCUUCAUCGAGCGUGAAAUCGAGUAGGGCGGGACACGUGAUAUCCUGUCUGAAUAUGGGGGGACCAUCCUCCAAGGCUAAAUACUCCUGACUGACCGAUAGUGAACCAGUACCGUGAGGGAAAGGCGAAAAGAACCCCUGUGAGGGGAGUGAAAUAGAACCUGAAACCGUGUACGUACAAGCAGUAGGAGCACCUUCGUGGUGUGACUGCGUACCUUUUGUAUAAUGGGUCAGCGACUUAUAUUCAGUGGCAAGGUUAACCGUAUAGGGGAGCCGUAGCGAAAGCGAGUCUUAACUGGGCGCUCAGUCUCUGGAUAUAGACCCGAAACCGGGUGAUCUAGCCAUGGGCAGGUUGAAGGUUGAGUAACAUCAACUGGAGGACCGAACCGACUAAUGUUGAAAAAUUAGCGGAUGACUUGUGGCUAGGGGUGAAAGGCCAAUCAAACUCGGAGAUAGCUGGUUCUCCCCGAAAGCUAUUUAGGUAGCGCCUCGGACGAAUACUACUGGGGGUAGAGCACUGUUAAGGCUAGGGGGUCAUCCCGACUUACCAACCCUUUGCAAACUCCGAAUACCAGUAAGUACUAUCCGGGAGACACACGGCGGGUGCUAACGUCCGUCGUGGAGAGGGAAACAACCCAGACCGCCAGCUAAGGUCCCAAAGUAUUGCUAAGUGGGAAACGAUGUGGGAAGGCUCAGACAGCUAGGAUGUUGGCUUAGAAGCAGCCAUCAUUUAAAGAAAGCGUAAUAGCUCACUAGUCGAGUCGGCCUGCGCGGAAGAUGUAACGGGGCUAAGCAAUACACCGAAGCUGCGGCAAUGUCUUUUAGAUAUUGGGUAGGGGAGCGUUCUGUAAGCCGUUGAAGGUGAAUCGUAAGGUUUGCUGGAGGUAUCAGAAGUGCGAAUGCUGACAUGAGUAACGACAAAGGGGGUGAAAAACCUCCUCGCCGGAAGACCAAGGGUUCCUGUCCAACGUUAAUCGGGGCAGGGUGAGUCGACCCCUAAGGUGAGGCCGAAAGGCGUAAUCGAUGGGAAACGGGUUAAUAUUCCCGUACUUCUGACUAUUGCGAUGGGGGGACGGAGAAGGCUAGGUGGGCCAGGCGACGGUUGUCCUGGUUCAAGUGCGUAGGCUUGAGAGUUAGGUAAAUCCGGCUCUCUCUAAGGCUGAGACACGACGUCGAGCUGCUACGGCAGUGAAGUCAUUGAUGCCAUGCUUCCAGGAAAAGCCUCUAAGCUUCAGAUAGUCAGGAAUCGUACCCCAAACCGACACAGGUGGUCGGGUAGAGAAUACCAAGGCGCUUGAGAGAACUCGGGUGAAGGAACUAGGCAAAAUGGUACCGUAACUUCGGGAGAAGGUACGCUCUUGAUGGUGAAGUCCCUCGCGGAUGGAGCUGACGAGAGUCGCAGAUACCAGGUGGCUGCAACUGUUUAUUAAAAACACAGCACUGUGCAAAAUCGCAAGAUGACGUAUACGGUGUGACGCCUGCCCGGUGCCGGAAGGUUAAUUGAUGGGGUUAGCGCAAGCGAAGCUCUUGAUCGAAGCCCCGGUAAACGGCGGCCGUAACUAUAACGGUCCUAAGGUAGCGAAAUUCCUUGUCGGGUAAGUUCCGACCUGCACGAAUGGCGUAAUGAUGGCCACGCUGUCUCCACCCGAGACUCAGUGAAAUUGAAAUCGCUGUGAAGAUGCAGUGUACCCGCGGCUAGACGGAAAGACCCCGUGAACCUUUACUACAGCUUGGCACUGAACAUUGAACCUACAUGUGUAGGAUAGGUGGGAGGCUAUGAAGACGUGACGCCAGUUGCGUUGGAGCCGUCCUUGAAAUACCACCCUUGUAUGUUUGAUGUUCUAACUUAGCCCCAUUAUCUGGGGUGAGGACAGUGCCUGGUGGGUAGUUUGACUGGGGCGGUCUCCUCCCAAAGAGUAACGGAGGAGCACGAAGGUGGGCUAAUCACGGUUGGACAUCGUGAGGUUAGUGCAAUGGCAUAAGCCCGCUUAACUGCGAGAAUGACGGUUCGAGCAGGUGCGAAAGCAGGUCAUAGUGAUCCGGUGGUUCUGUAUGGAAGGGCCAUCGCUCAACGGAUAAAAGGUACUCCGGGGAUAACAGGCUGAUACCGCCCAAGAGUUCAUAUCGACGGCGGUGUUUGGCACCUCGAUGUCGGCUCAUCACAUCCUGGGGCUGAAGUCGGUCCCAAGGGUAUGGCUGUUCGCCAUUUAAAGUGGUACGCGAGCUGGGUUUAGAACGUCGUGAGACAGUUCGGUCCCUAUCUGCCGUGGGCGUUGGAAGAUUGAAGGGGGCUGCUCCUAGUACGAGAGGACCGGAGUGGACGAACCUCUGGUGUUCGGGUUGUGUCGCCAGACGCAUUGCCCGGUAGCUAAGUUCGGAAUUGAUAAGCGCUGAAAGCAUCUAAGCGCGAAGCGAGCCCUGAGAUGAGUCUUCCCUGAUACUUUAAGUAUCCUAAAGGGUUGUUCGAGACUAGAACGUUGAUAGGCAGGGUGUGUAAGCGUUGUGAGGCGUUGAGCUAACCUGUACUAAUUGCCCGUGAGGCUUAACCA
Molecule: ribosomal RNA, 2658 nt
Filed under: Vibrio cholerae
Lineage: Bacteria; Pseudomonadati; Pseudomonadota; Gammaproteobacteria; Vibrionales; Vibrionaceae
Description: partial 23S ribosomal RNA
Rfam family: Bacterial large subunit ribosomal RNA
Source: RNAcentral